CGCUAUCGCUCCUACGGGAGGCAGCAGUGGGGAAUAUUGCACAAUGGGGGAAACCCUGAUGCAGCCAUGCCGCGUGUGUGAAGAAGGCCUUCGGGUUGUAAAGCACUUUCAGUAGGGAGGAAGGUAGUGUAGUUAACACCUGCACUAUUUGACGUUACCUACAGAAGAAGCACCGGCUAACUCCGUGUCAGCAGCCGCGGUAAUACGGAGGGUGCGAGCGUUAAUCGGAAUUACUGGGCGUAAAGCGCAUGCAGGCGGCCUGUUAAGUCAGAUGUGAAAGCCCGGGGCUUAACCUCGGAAUUGCAUUUGAAACUGGCAGGCUAGAGUCUUGUAGAGGGGGUAGAAUUUCAGGUGUAGCGGUGAAAUGCGUAGAGAUCUGAAGGAAUACCAGUGGCGAAGGCGGCCCCCUGGACAAAGACUGACGCUCAGAUGCGAAAGCGUGGGGAGCAAACAGGAUUAGAUACCCUGGUAG
Molecule: ribosomal RNA, 472 nt
Filed under: uncultured bacterium
Lineage: Bacteria
Description: bacterial SSU rRNA
Rfam family: Bacterial small subunit ribosomal RNA
Source: RNAcentral